GUAGGGAAUCUUGCGCAAUGGGGGCAACCCUGACGCAGCGACGCCGCGUGGAGGACGAAGUCUUUCGGGAUGUAAACUCCUGUCAGUGGGGACGAUAAUGACGGUACCCACAGAGGAAGCACCGGCUAACUCCGUGCCAGCAGCCGCGGUAAGACGGAGGGUGCAAGCGUUGUUCGGAAUUACUGGGCGUAAAGCGUAUGUAGGCGGCAAGUUAAGUUCAAUGUUAAAGCCCACGGCUCAACCGAGGAGAUGCAUUGAAUACUGGCUAGCUAGAUGGUGUUAGAGGAAGACGGAAUUCCCAGUGUAGCGGUGAAAUGCGUAGAUAUUGGGAGGAACAUCGGUAGCGAAAGCGGUCUUCUGGGACAUACCUGACGCUGAGGUACGAAAGCGUGGGGAGCAAACGGGAUUAGAAACCCGGGUAGUCC
Molecule: ribosomal RNA, 425 nt
Filed under: uncultured bacterium
Lineage: Bacteria
Description: partial 16S ribosomal RNA
Rfam family: Bacterial small subunit ribosomal RNA
Source: RNAcentral